RNAcentral lists this ribosomal RNA (482 nucleotides) under uncultured bacterium. Its description in RNAcentral is "bacterial SSU rRNA". It matches the Rfam family "Bacterial small subunit ribosomal RNA", at positions 30 to 507 of the family's 1533-position model. The record is from RNAcentral.
AUUGAACGCUGGCGGCAUGCCUUACACAUGCAAGUCGAGCGGCAGCACGGGGGCAACCCUGGUGGCGAGUGGCGAACGGGUGAGUAAUACAUCGGAAUGUACCCAGUAGUGGGGGAUAACUAGUCGAAAGAUUAGCUAAUACCGCAUACGCACUAUGGUGGAAAGCGGGGGACCGAAAGGCCUCGCGCUAUUGGAGCGGCCGAUGUCGGAUUAGCUUGUUGGUGGGGUAAUGGCCUACCAAGGCGACGAUCCGUAACUGGUCUGAGAGGACGACCAGUCACACUGGGACUGAGACACGGCCCAGACUCCUACGGGAGGCAGCAGUGGGGAAUUUUGGACAAUGGGCGAAAGCCUGAUCCAGCAAUGCCGCGUGUGUGAAGAAGGCCUUCGGGUUGUAAGCACUUUGUCCGGAAGAAAUACCGUCUGGCUAAUACCCGGACGGGAUGACGGUACCGGAAGAAUAAGCACCGGCUAACUACGUG